RNAcentral lists this ribosomal RNA (482 nucleotides) under uncultured bacterium. RNAcentral describes it as "partial 16S ribosomal RNA". It matches the Rfam family "Bacterial small subunit ribosomal RNA", at positions 28 to 506 of the family's 1533-position model. The record is from RNAcentral.
GACGAACGCUGGCGGCGUGCUUAACACAUGCAAGUCGAACGCUGAAGCUCAGCUUUUGUUGGGUGGAUGAGUGGCGAACGGGUGAGUAACACGUGAGUAACCUGCCCCCUUCUUUGGGAUAACGCCCGGAAACGGGUGCUAAUACUGGAUAUUCACUGGUCUUCGCAUGGGGGUUGGUGGAAAGGGUUUUUCUGGUGGGGGAUGGGCUCGCGGCCUAUCAGCUUGUUGGUGGGGUGAUGGCCUACCAAGGCUUUGACGGGUAGCCGGCCUGAGAGGGUGACCGGGCAAAUGGGGACUGGGAUACGGCCAAGAUGCCUACGGGGGGCAGCGGGGGGGAAAAUGGCACAAGGGGGGCAAGCCGGAUGCAGGGGCGCCGGGGGGGGGAUGGGGGCCUUGGGGUUGUGAACCUUUUUCGCUAAUGGUAAAGCCGCAAAAAUGGUUGUGGUGGGGGUAGGGGGUAAAGAAGCGCCGGCUAACUACGG